GGGUACCACGGCAAGAUGAUGAGGAUGGAGCGUGGAGGAAAGAGAUGCCCGAGACACGAGACGAUCCAGGUAUGCCAUCUACACCGGCUUCUCCUUUCUCUCCAGGAGUACCAGGUGCCCCCUGCAAACCACCCUCACCUGAACCCUUCUGACCUGGUGGACCCAUACUGCCUAGUUCUCCAGGAAUCCCACUGUCUCCUUUAUCACCUGAGACACAUUGACCAAAGACAACCUUUAACCAGAGGUUCCACGGUAAAACAUUUAGUUUAUUAAUGUAUUGUAAUCCCACCACCAAAACAAACAUGUAUGGAUUUAAGUAGUCACCUGGCUGUCCCGGUAAACCAGGUUCUCCAUUUUUGCCUGGCAUUCCAGGAUCUCCAGGUAGUCCACGAUAACCUUUCUGUCCUGUCACUCCAGCGUUUCCUAAUAAGCGAGACAACAAUCUUAUGUGUGAGACUUGAGUGAACUUCCAUGUUUCAUGUUUUUCCGAAGGCGUUCCCACCUGGGUCGCCAAUGUCUCCCUUAUCCCCCCUCAUUUUCACCAUGUCGACUUUACUCAUGUUCCCUGGAGGUCCUUGAGGACCUUGCUCUCCCCUCUCUCCUUUUGCUCCAAUUUGUCCAAUUAGUCCUCGUAAACCAGGAACACCGGGAUCACCUGAGAAAGAUGUUAAAAAAGACAAUAUUCUGUUUUGUUGUUAAAUAUUAUUUACCAGAACUUCAAGGAGUAUCACCCUAAACCCGAUUUCUGAAGGCUCCCCAUCCCACUUCUGACACCAUUUUUCACAGAAGCAUCCUAAACCAAAGAGAUUGGCAGAAUCCAAGUGCUUCAAACACUAGCAGAACACACGACCUGUUGAAGGCGUUCUUCAUACCGAGCAGAUCACAGCAUGUCCUCACUACUACUCUUCCCACUUCUCAGAGCAUUUUCAAACCACCGCCCCAAAAAAACCUUUGACUUAGACUGAAACACAUUCAAAUAAACUUUUAAUGAUUCGUCACCUGUCAAGCCUUGACCUCCAGGUAAACCUGGUGAUCCCUGAAAUCCUGGCGAUCCUGGGGUCCCAAUGACUCCCAUUUCACCUUUGGAACCUGGCCAAAAAACGCAGGUAAGGGAAAUUACUGUAACUCACAAAGAGCAAUCUAUUUGUUAAAACGUGUUUCUCACCUUGCUGUCCUAUCUGUCCAUCCCUUCCUGGAAAGCCUGGUGUUCCUGGCAGUCCUUUAACACCAGGGACUCCCGGGAACCCAGAGACUCCUUUUUCUCCUUGAGGCCCUGGCAUGUCGAGGCCAGGUGGACCUGGAUAGCCCUGCUCUCCUUUUUCACCUUCCCUACCUACACAAAAUCCAGUAUUUAGUUUACCAGAACUCUAUCAUAGGGCAAAAUAAAAAACCUUAUUGCAUCCAAAUGUGUAAAAUAAAAUACCCAAAAUAUUUUACAUACCAAAUGGACCAGGCUCUCCAGGCAGUCCUUGUGGUCCAGGGGCACCUGGCAAGCCGUUUCCUGGAGCUCCUGGUAACCCUACCACUCCAACAGGUCCAACACGGCCCAUGCUACCUAAAACCCAAAUAAAACAAUGUCUGGGUCGUUCAACUAGAUAGCAUGACCAGAGUAUGCAUAACAUUGGAACCAUCCAGUGAUACCUUUGAUUCCUUGAGGUCCUGGUGGUCCUGUCUGGCCUUCUCUCCCAGGAAUACCUGGCAGUCCCAAGCCACCUUUCUCUCCUGGGAAGCCAAUAAUACCAGAGGUACCCUUUGAACCUUUUGGUCCUGGGAGACCCAUUCCUGGUUCACCCUGUUAGGUAAUGGUAGAGGAUUUAGGCUAAUUUCUGUACAGAAUAUCAUAUGUGACCUAAUCAGUAAUUUGUUCGAAGAUCAUUAAAUUAAUACGCACUUUUUGUCCAUGUGGACCAGGCUGUCCAAAAAUACCAUCCUGUCCGGGUCUUCCUGGCUCUCCGGACAAUCCGGGAGCACCUGGAAUUCCACUGAUUCCUGGAAAUAUAGAGCUCCAUUUGAACAUUUUCAUGGGUCUGAAGGUAUCCGGUGCAUGUCUUUGGUACUGUAUGACUAGUUACGGAAAAAUUGAAAUAGUGGAAUACUAUACCUUUGGGACCAGUCGGGCCAGGAAAUCCAAUUCCAGGAAAACCUUGAUCACCUUUCUGACCAGGAAAACCUGGUACUCCAGCGUCUCCUUGGAGACCUCUGUCCCCUGCAGCCAACAACAAGCUCUGAUCAAAUAGAUUUUAUUUCUGCAAAUUCUUGACAAAUGACAAAUAUGACAUAGUCCCCCUAAUACUUGGUCAAACGCCAAUCAAAAAGAAAACAUCCCAAGGAAAGAAGGUUUGAGCUUACCUAGCAGUCCAUCUCUGCCAGGCUCCCCACGUGGUCCAGGUAUACCUUGCGCUCCAGGGGUGCUCACGCCUGUACCUGGCUCACCUUUGGCACCUAGACACAAAUAAUACAUUUUGCAUGUGUGUUUACGAACCUUGUACAAAUGAGUAUAAAUAUUCAUGAGACUAAUCGCUCACCAGGUACUCCAGGGGAUCCGGGGAUACCUGGAGUCCCGUGACUUCCCUUGUCCCCAGGCACCCCUGGUCGGCCAUAGCCUGGCACACCUGAAGGACCCCUCUCCCCUGGAGGGCCUACACGACCAGGGUCUCCGAUUGGUCCAUGAUCACCCUUGAUGCCGCCUCUGCCCUAAAAGCAAAGUCAUCAAGUAGAAAGAACACUCAAACAAAACACUAAAACUGUUCAAAGAACGCUUUUCUUACAGGUUCUCCUUUGUGGCCGGGCACACCCGGUAGGCCAUCCCUCCCAGGUUUCCCAUCCAGGCCUGGUUGUCCUGGUGAACCGGCGAAACCGGGCAAACCUUUGUCUCCUUUCAGACCUGAAGCAAUGAAAAUGUCUCCGGGCGCUCCAACUGCACCUGGUUCCCCAAUCAAACCGGGACUGCCAUUGAGGCCCUAAAUACAGACCAGGAGGACCUUUUGACAGACAGAGACUACUUCAGCUGAGGCCCUGGGGUCCAGGUAAUCCAGCGGGGCCAAACCCUUCGCACUGAACACAAGUGUCUCCUUGGUCACCUGCAUACAAAAUAUAAUUGUAAAUAUUAUAGGAGUCAAUAAAAUAAUUUUAUUUCACUGGGUCAACCUUUCUGUCCCAGUUCUCCUUGAAGCCCUGGAGCUCCAGGUGGGCCUUGGGCGCCUUUUGCAAUGUUGCAUUUAUCGGGGUCAACUGUUGGAUACAAAAUAUG
Molecule: long non-coding RNA, 3250 nt
Organism: Entelurus aequoreus (snake pipefish)
Lineage: Eukaryota; Metazoa; Chordata; Actinopteri; Syngnathiformes; Syngnathidae
Exons: 5
Source: RefSeq, a predicted model, not a curated record